This 2090-nucleotide ribosomal RNA is filed under the name Salmonella enterica. RNAcentral describes it as "partial 23S ribosomal RNA". It matches the Rfam family "Bacterial large subunit ribosomal RNA", at positions 863 to 2925 of the family's 2925-position model. Lineage: Bacteria; Pseudomonadati; Pseudomonadota; Gammaproteobacteria; Enterobacterales; Enterobacteriaceae. The record is from RNAcentral.
AAGCUAUUUAGGUAGCGCCUCGUGAACUCAUCUCCGGGGGUAGAGCACUGUUUCGGCUAGGGGGCCAUCCCGGCUUACCAACCCGAUGCAAACUGCGAAUACCGGAGAAUGUUAUCACGGGAGACACACGGCGGGUGCUAACGUCCGUCGUGAAGAGGGAAACAACCCAGACCGCCAGCUAAGGUCCCAAAGUCAUGGUUAAGUGGGAAACGAUGUGGGAAGGCCCAGACAGCCAGGAUGUUGGCUUAGAAGCAGCCAUCAUUUAAAGAAAGCGUAAUAGCUCACUGGUCGAGUCGGCCUGCGCGGAAGAUGUAACGGGGCUAAACCAUGCACCGAAGCUGCGGCAGCGACACUCAGGUGUUGUUGGGUAGGGGAGCGUUCUGUAAGCCUGCGAAGGUGGCCUGUGAGGGUUGCUGGAGGUAUCAGAAGUGCGAAUGCUGACAUAAGUAACGAUAAAGCGGGUGAAAAGCCCGCUCGCCGGAAGACCAAGGGUUCCUGUCCAACGUUAAUCGGGGCAGGGUGAGUCGACCCCUAAGGCGAGGCCGAAAGGCGUAGUCGAUGGGAAACGGGUUAAUAUUCCCGUACUUGGUGUUACUGCGAAGGGGGGACGGAGAAGGCUAUGUUGGCCGGGCGACGGUUGUCCCGGUUUAAGCGUGUAGGUGUGUGUUCCAGGUAAAUCCGGUUCACUUUAACACUGAGGCGUGAUGACGAGGCACUACGGUGCUGAAGCAACAAAUGCCCUGCUUCCAGGAAAAGCCUCUAAGCAUCAGGUAACAUCAAAUCGUACCCCAAACCGACACAGGUGGUCAGGUAGAGAAUACCAAGGCGCUUGAGAGAACUCGGGUGAAGGAACUAGGCAAAAUGGUGCCGUAACUUCGGGAGAAGGCACGCUGACACGUAGGUGAAGUGAUUUACUCAUGGAGCUGAAGUCAGUCGAAGAUACCAGCUGGCUGCAACUGUUUAUUAAAAACACAGCACUGUGCAAACACGAAAGUGGACGUAUACGGUGUGACGCCUGCCCGGUGCCGGAAGGUUAAUUGAUGGGGUCAGCGCAAGCGAAGCUCCUGAUCGAAGCCCCGGUAAACGGCGGCCGUAACUAUAACGGUCCUAAGGUAGCGAAAUUCCUUGUCGGGUAAGUUCCGACCUGCACGAAUGGCGUAAUGAUGGCCAGGCUGUCUCCACCCGAGACUCAGUGAAAUUGAACUCGCUGUGAAGAUGCAGUGUACCCGCGGCAAGACGGAAAGACCCCGUGAACCUUUACUAUAGCUUGACACUGAACAUUGAGCCUUGAUGUGUAGGAUAGGUGGGAGGCUUUGAAGUGUGGACGCCAGUCUGCAUGGAGCCGGCCUUGAAAUACCACCCUUUAAUGUUUGAUGUUCUAACGUGGACCCGUGAUCCGGGUUGCGGACAGUGUCUGGUGGGUAGUUUGACUGGGGCGGUCUCCUCCUAAAGAGUAACGGAGGAGCACGAAGGUUGGCUAAUCCUGGUCGGACAUCAGGAGGUUAGUGCAAUGGCAUAAGCCAGCUUGACUGCGAGCGUGACGGCGCGAGCAGGUGCGAAAGCAGGUCAUAGUGAUCCGGUGGUUCUGAAUGGAAGGGCCAUCGCUCAACGGAUAAAAGGUACUCCGGGGAUAACAGGCUGAUACCGCCCAAGAGUUCAUAUCGACGGCGGUGUUUGGCACCUCGAUGUCGGCUCAUCACAUCCUGGGGCUGAAGUAGGUCCCAAGGGUAUGGCUGUUCGCCAUUUAAAGUGGUACGCGAGCUGGGUUUAGAACGUCGUGAGACAGUUCGGUCCCUAUCUGCCGUGGGCGCUGGAGAACUGAGGGGGGCUGCUCCUAGUACGAGAGGACCGGAGUGGACGCAUCACUGGUGUUCGGGUUGUCAUGCCAAUGGCACUGCCCGGUAGCUAAAUGCGGAAGAGAUAAGUGCUGAAAGCAUCUAAGCACGAAACUUGCCCCGAGAUGAGUUCUCCCUGAGACUUUAGGUCUCCUGAAGGAACGUUGAAGACGACGACGUUGAUAGGCCGGGUGUGUAAGCGCAGCGAUGCGUUGAGCUAACCGGUACUAAUGAACCGUGAGGCUUAACCUUACA